Molecule: ribosomal RNA, 180 nt
Filed under: uncultured Desulfocapsa sp.
Lineage: Bacteria; Pseudomonadati; Thermodesulfobacteriota; Desulfobulbia; Desulfobulbales; Desulfocapsaceae
Description: partial 16S ribosomal RNA
Rfam family: Bacterial small subunit ribosomal RNA
Source: RNAcentral
ACCAGGGCUACGACACGUACUACAAUGGCCGGUACAAAGGGCAAGGCGACACAGCGAUGUGAAGCGAAUCCCGAAAAGCCGGUCUCAGUCCGGAUUGGAGUCUGCAACUCGACUCCAUGAAGUUGGAAUCGCUAGUAAUCGCGGAUCAGCACGCCGCGGUCGAAUACGUUCCCGGGCCUU